This 82-nucleotide transfer RNA is filed under the name Candidatus Brachybacterium intestinipullorum. Its description in RNAcentral is "tRNA-Leu". It matches the Rfam family "tRNA". From Rfam's summary of the family: Transfer RNA (tRNA) molecules are approximately 80 nucleotides in length. Their secondary structure includes four short double-helical elements and three loops (D, anti-codon, and T loops). Further hydrogen bonds mediate the characteristic L-shaped molecular structure. tRNAs have two regions of fundamental functional importance: the anti-codon, which is responsible for specific mRNA codon recognition, and the 3' end, to which the tRNAs corresponding amino acid is attached (by aminoacyl-tRNA synthetases). tRNAs cope with the degeneracy of the genetic code in two manners: having more than one tRNA (with a specific anti-codon) for a particular amino acid; and 'wobble' base-pairing, i.e. permitting non-standard base-pairing at the 3rd anti-codon position. Lineage: Bacteria; Bacillati; Actinomycetota; Actinomycetes; Micrococcales; Dermabacteraceae. The record is from RNAcentral.
GCGCGAGUGGCGGAAUUGGCAGACGCGCUGGAUUUAGGUUCCAGUGCCCUAGGGCGUGGGGGUUCGAGUCCCCUCUCGCGCA